UUACCAAGACUGAAUUUAAAUAUGAAAUUAAUCGAUGAAAUAAACUGCCUCAAUUAAUUUCAGCUUUUGAAAAGGAUCAUUCAUAACUCUAAACCUGCCUUACUGAAAAUAACUAUGAUCUCCGAGAAAUUUACACAAAGACGAUGGAUUGAAAAGAAAGAAACCUGAAAGAAUUUUGAAAAAGGAUCACUUAUGAAUUUUUGCACAAAACCUUAACAUGUAUUCCAGGUGUCCUUUGAAUGAAUACAAAAAAAAAGAAAAGACGAACAAGUUAAUAGGUUAGAAAAGCUCACGUAAGGAAUUUACAAAGCUUCGUAAAACCUACGUAUGUAAUCCCGCCCAUCUCGGCUUACAAACUUUCAACCGUUUUUCGAUAGAUGACUGCAGCUUUCGAAAUUUAUUUUCGAUCAAAAAUGUCAGUUUUCGAGCCAAAUUCUCGUAAUUUGCGGGAAAAGUUGAUUUUCUGCUUUAUUGAAGAAAAAAAAACUGCGACUAAAUAUCAAGAUUAUGCUCUGCAUUUGAGGGGACCACCUGGGUGAGAUGUAUUAAGAGGCUUUUUAAAAAAAAUAAUUUUGACCAGAGUUUCUUUUAUCAAAUCUAGCCCUACCAUCAAUAAAAUAAAUCAUACAAUUCUAACGGCACUCAAAUCUAGACUAAUUCUACACUAAUCACAUUAUAAUCAUACCUGGAUUUUUGAAUCCAACAUUUUGAACCACUAUUUCGAAGACGCGGGGAUUAAACUCGUAACAAAUAUUUAAUCCAGUGGAUUUUUAUUAUUUUGUGUUAAAUGGGAUUACACAAAUUUGGAGUCAUUAAAGUAGUGAAGUGUAGUGACUUGUAGUUAUUUCUAUGGAUUUUUUUUUUAAAUCUAAUCUAAACGAGUGACAUAUUAUUUUUAAUAAUAGCCUGUUUCGAUUAUAGCCCAAACGAAAUGAUUUCGCAAAUGAUCUCAUUUCGAUUUUUUUAAAUUUCAAAUAGUCAAGUAAGUUUGUGGUUGCAUUCGCAACGCAGGCUUUUUUGUACAAAAAAUAAAUCAUCAAUUUGACCUUAAGUUGAAAAAACAAUUCAAAUAAUAUGCUCCCAAACGUUUCUUUUUUUAAUGAUUUCAUAUUACAUCAGGCACUACCAGCAUGACAGGAAUUUUUUUAUGAAAUUUUUAUAUAAGCGCCGAACCACUUGUAUUAUAAUUUAUACCUACGGUGACCAUAUUUUUAGGAACAAAACC
Episyrphus balteatus (marmalade hoverfly) is the source of this 1225-nucleotide long non-coding RNA. RefSeq lists it as uncharacterized. The record is from RefSeq and is a predicted model, not a curated record. The transcript has 3 exons. Lineage: Eukaryota; Metazoa; Arthropoda; Insecta; Diptera; Syrphidae.